RNAcentral lists this long non-coding RNA (388 nucleotides) under Manihot esculenta (cassava). RNAcentral describes it as "long non-coding RNA (MESC_LNC010094)". Lineage: Eukaryota; Viridiplantae; Streptophyta; Magnoliopsida; Malpighiales; Euphorbiaceae. The record is from RNAcentral.
GAACCACCAGGUCAGCUGGAAGGUAUCUACCCUCUAUGCACACUGGACUGAACCGACAGACUGACUCUGCCAAAGAUGGAUCACAUUUGGGUCCACUGACCCAUAGAGGACACUCUAACUCAGACACCAUCAGACCCAACCUCUCUGCAGCUCUAGAAGAAAUGAAAGAGUGAGAAGCACCGGGGUCCAUUAAAGCAUACACCUCUGAACACCCAAUGAUGAGAUUACCUGACACCACCGUGUUCGACGUGUCUGCCUCCUGCUGAGUCAGGGUGAAAAUCCGUGCUGGGGCUGACGGACCUGCACCUCGGGAACCCAUCCCUGAUGAAGAGGCUGCCCCUCUUCCUCUUCCUCUGCCACUGCUUGGUGGUAUGGCUGAAGCUACUGG